RNAcentral lists this ribosomal RNA (422 nucleotides) under Escherichia coli. Its description in RNAcentral is "partial 23S ribosomal RNA". It matches the Rfam family "Bacterial large subunit ribosomal RNA", at positions 1049 to 1474 of the family's 2925-position model. The record is from RNAcentral. Lineage: Bacteria; Pseudomonadati; Pseudomonadota; Gammaproteobacteria; Enterobacterales; Enterobacteriaceae.
AAAGUCAUGGUUAAGUGGGAAACGAUGUGGGAAGGCCCAGACAGCCAGGAUGUUGGCUUAGAAGCAGCCAUCAUUUAAAGAAAGCGUAAUAGCUCACUGGUCGAGUCGGCCUGCGCGGAAGAUGUAACGGGGCUAAACCAUGCACCGAAGCUGCGGCAGCGACGCUUAUGCGUUGUUGGGUAGGGGAGCGUUCUGUAAGCCUGUGAAGGUGUGCUGUGAGGCAUGCUGGAGGUAUCAGAAGUGCGAAUGCUGACAUAAGUAACGAUAAAGCGGGUGAAAAGCCCGCUCGCCGGAAGACCAAGGGUUCCUGUCCAACGUUAAUCGGGGCAGGGUGAGUCGACCCCUAAGGCGAGGCCGAAAGGCGUAGUCGAUGGGAAACAGGUUAAUAUUCCUGUACUUGGUGUUACUGCGAAGGGGGGACG